CAGUCGCCGCGGUAAUUCGUAGGUGGCAAGCGUUGUCCGGAAUUAUUGGGCGUAAAGGGCUCGCAGGCGGUUUCUUAAGUCUGAUGUGUAAGCCCCCGGCUCAACCGGGGAGGGUCAUUGGAAACUGGGAAACUUGAGUGCGGAAGAGGAGAGUGGAAUUCCACGUGUAGCGGUGAAAUGCGUAGAGAUGUGGAGGAACACCAGUGGCGAAGGCGACUCUCUGGUCUGUAACUGACGCUGAGGAGCGAAAGCGUGGGGAGCGAACAGGAUUAGAUACCCCCGUAGUCCCUGUCUCUUAUAA
This 301-nucleotide ribosomal RNA is filed under the name uncultured bacterium. RNAcentral describes it as "partial 16S ribosomal RNA". It matches the Rfam family "Bacterial small subunit ribosomal RNA", at positions 509 to 809 of the family's 1533-position model. The record is from RNAcentral.